This 29-nucleotide non-coding RNA is filed under the name Callithrix jacchus (white-tufted-ear marmoset). Lineage: Eukaryota; Metazoa; Chordata; Mammalia; Primates; Cebidae. RNAcentral also lists the same sequence under 1 other name. The record is from RNAcentral.
UCUUAGUUGAUUAUCUCCUGGAUCUGGGA